AUGGAGCUGAGAAAUCUAAUUCAAAGAGAGGGAAAGAGUGCUAGUCCGAAAGAACAAGCAAGGGUUGAGCGCACGGGAGCGAAAUCCGUUGCACCCAUGCGCAUACGUUUCUUGCUGGUUCUUAUCGAUCCCAUUUUAAGGACAAAUCCUAAUGUUGGUAAAAUAUACGUGUUGAUCAAGGCCAAGGACAAUGAAGCAGCCAUGAAAAGAUUGAAGAACGAGGUAGAAGAUACUGAGUUGUUCAGAUGUUUACUGGAAAUCCAUGGGAAAAACUACCACAACUUUGUAUUAAGCAAGCAGGUUCCAGUCGUUGGUAAUUUCAGGGAAGCCAACAUUGGCAUUGCUCCUGAGAUAGCCAAAGAGAUCGCGGAAGAAGUGGAUGUUAUCAUAAACUCUGUAGCAAAUACCACUUUUGAUGAGAGGUAUGAUGUAGCACUAGACAUCAACACCGUGGGGCCAUUCUGGAUAAUGAGUUUCACGCAGCGGUUUCGAAGACUGAAGAUCUUCUUGCAAGUAUCAACAGGUCAGAAUGCCAAAUAA
This 540-nucleotide ribosomal RNA is filed under the name Triticum aestivum (bread wheat). RNAcentral's name for it is "partial small subunit ribosomal RNA". The record is from RNAcentral. Lineage: Eukaryota; Viridiplantae; Streptophyta; Magnoliopsida; Poales; Poaceae.